Molecule: transfer RNA, 93 nt
Filed under: Coniochaeta sp. 2T2.1
Lineage: Eukaryota; Fungi; Ascomycota; Sordariomycetes; Coniochaetales; Coniochaetaceae
Rfam family: tRNA
About the family: Transfer RNA (tRNA) molecules are approximately 80 nucleotides in length.
Source: Rfam by way of RNAcentral
GUCGUGAUGUCCGAGUGGUUAAGGAGUGAGACUUGAAUGCUUAUUCGAUAUCUCAUGGGUUCGCCUGCGUAGGUUCAAAUCCUGCUCACGACG